AAAAAAAAAAAGGAAAUUCUUAUUGCAUAGGGUCAUGAGGAUUAAACGGCGACAAGCACAUGAGCCUGGUGUCUGGCACAUCCCAUCAUAUUUGCUGUUAUGAUUAUUACUGCAAUGCUUACAUGGGCACAGCUCUGGGGAAACUUAGCCAUGGUUUGAUAUUAGUGACGUCAAUAGACAAGUUAGUGAUAUCAGCUGAAACUCGAGAUUGCCAAUGUUUAUAAACAAAGCAUCCUGCUCUGCUGCCCAAAGUUUGAAGAGCUUCAUGUCUUAGUGAAAGUAGCCAGUCUGUGAUUUACCUGCAUGGGACUUGCCUGCUGAUCUCUGCAGGCAUAAGCAUCUUUGCCCAGGUGGCAUCUACUGCUUGCCAUCUGAAGGUGGGACUAGAACUUUAGGUCCUUCACAGUUGGAUCAACUCUAGAUUUGCGGGCUUCACUCUCUAGAGACAGUCUCCUGGUGAGGGGAAGCUAUUUUCCGUCUACCUCAUACUUCCUAGUUUGCCAGUAUAAAAGAAAAUCAUUUAAAACUUUACUUUCUGAUAUGUAUUUUAUGGUAAGAUGUUGAAAAAAUAUACAUUUUCAAAUGCUGAACACACUUCUAUAAAAGGUCAUGCUGACCAUUGGAAAAUUAGCGAGAUCGAGACCAUGGUGAAACCCCAUCUCUAUUAAAAGUACAAAAAAUUAGCCGGGCGCAGUGGCAGGCGCCUGUAGUCCCAGCUACUCGGAAGGCUGAGGCAGGAGAAUGGCGUGAACCCAGGAGGCAGAGCCUGCAGUGAGCCGAGAUUGUGCCACUGCACUCCAGCCUGGGCGACAGAGCGAGACUCCAUCUCAAAAAAAAAAAAAAAAAAAAAAAAAAGAAAAUCUAGAAGGCAUGGACACGUUUCUGAAAACAGGGGAAAAAAAAUCCA
RNAcentral lists this long non-coding RNA (907 nucleotides) under Homo sapiens (human). Its description in RNAcentral is "non-protein coding lnc-FGFR2-10:1". The record is from RNAcentral. Lineage: Eukaryota; Metazoa; Chordata; Mammalia; Primates; Hominidae.